GAAUAAGCAGGCAGCAUUUAGCCUGAAGAAUCACCAAUUUCUAAGCAAAGAAGAAGCGUUUCAUUUCAUAAAUCUACAGUUUCUUGAAUCAAAAAUCUCACUAGAUCUUAGCAAUACAUGCGGUUACAACCAACAAUCAUGGCACUUCUCUAACAAAAUUGAGAUGGUGAAACCGAUUUAUAUGAGAUAUGUAGAAGACACCCACAGAAGUACAUACGUAAUCAAUGAAGUUGUCACCUCCAAACUCCUUGGCCCUUUGAAUAUGGGAGGAACCACAGACACCAUCAAGAAUGUCCCCAGAAGCCAAGAAAAAAUAAAAGCACCAGCUCCAUAUAGAAAAGCUCGAAGUUUGUUCUUUAACCGAUCAUGAAUGAAAUACAUGGCAGUGAUCAGGGAAAUGGCAACUUGAAGGGUUGGACCUUCUUCAGUAGGAAACAGAACUGUGAGAGCUCCAAGGACUAUGAAAGCAAUGGAAGUUUUCACAAUGAACUUUGUAGCUGGUGUCCUAAACCUGCUAGUAACAGCCUGCACAACACGAGAUUGCUUCAUUUCCCUGACUUUCUUUUUAACGUCAAUUUUUGGGUUCUUUCUAUCAUAGAAUUUCUGCAUUAUUAUUUUAUCAUGGGCAGCUUCAAUUGCAUCCACACUUGGUUUAUGACCAGCAUAUCUUUGUAUUAGGAAGUUCCUAGCAGCUUGGAUUUCAUCCUCGGAAGCUUCUAUAUUGAUUCCAAGUCGUUUGUAUGGGUCCUUCACAUUAAUUCUCGGAAAGAUAGCAGCAGAGUCAUCUGUAGAACCACCAAAAGAAGCUUCCAUUGCACACUUCACUAAAGGCAUUCUUCUUGGGUGAUACUUCUGUGUAGAAACAGUACAAUGACUUCUUGAUCUCCCUAAGUUAGAAACUGAAACUCUCUUCUCACGCAACCCUGGACAUUGUACAGGUAAUUGGAGACAGUAUUUUAUGGGACUAGCAGCUACUCCUGAUGUUGCCAUUGUAGCCCACCUUAGUAUAGUUGACGAACUGAGAAACUGGUGAUUAAAGGGUUUGCUGGGUUCUUCUUCUUGUUGUUAUUGUAGAUUGAGAAAGGGUGAACUCUACGGC
Molecule: unclassified non-coding RNA, 1099 nt
Filed under: Hevea brasiliensis (rubber tree)
Lineage: Eukaryota; Viridiplantae; Streptophyta; Magnoliopsida; Malpighiales; Euphorbiaceae
Source: RNAcentral